This is a long non-coding RNA of Mesocricetus auratus (golden hamster), 1079 nucleotides long. RefSeq lists it as uncharacterized. The transcript has 2 exons. The record is from RefSeq and is a predicted model, not a curated record. Lineage: Eukaryota; Metazoa; Chordata; Mammalia; Rodentia; Cricetidae.
AGUAGCUCACCUCUAACAACCCCAGACUCCGAAGGAGGGAUGGGAGGUGGGAACAAGAGUCCCCAGAACCCUGCUUCCUAGGUAGCCUGGUGUGCACAGCACAGCGGCGGAAAUCCAGCAGCUCUAGGUCGCAAGCAAGGUGGGAAGACAGAGCUGAUACCCUAUGACACUAUGAGGGUAUACAUCCCAUUACUUCCCGGGGUGCCCUUCCCCACCAACCCCAUUCUCCAAGUUCCUGACAGGACACUAUGUGUCCCUCAGGAUGCAAAUCACACUAAACAGCACAACCUAGCUUCUAGGCCCUUUCCCUGUGACCCCCAUCUCUGUACCUCACAAACCCCUAAAGUAUCCUCUGAUGACAAGGACUGUAUUGAUAUGGUACAAAUCCCAGCCCACUCUUUGCAAACUUGAUCUCGAACUCCCAGCUUCCUCCCCAGUUACAAUCAAUCCUUGUAUUUGCCAGGUGUUUGGGGAGACUCGCCUGAGACCAGUCCAGCACUAUAGCAGCUUGGCCAGCCCACACGCUGAGCUCUUAGGAGACACUCUGACCCUCAGGUUUCUGAGUCACUCAGUGUUCAGUCAGUGACACACCUGCUCGCUGGACUGUGUUCAUUCCCUCACUCUCACUCGCUGACUCACUGGUGCUUGAUCCAGCCUCGGGUAGAAAUUACGUAGCAAGGGCUGGAUGGCCAGGAACACACACCCUGACCUGCACCAGGCAGGAAUGUAACUGAACUUUCUCUCGGGCGGCCUGGCUUCUCUCAGAGCAGAGCCAGAGCUCCUGCACACCUAGGAAAUCCCAGGGAAGGAGUGGACCAGGAAACCAGAGAGAAGGGGAGGCCAGCCUCAAAGCUAAAUGCAAAUCCAAGGUCUACCCUGCCUCACCUCCAACACCCAGCUAUCACACAACGCGCAUCACAAAGACUCCCACAGCAGCACUGAAGCUCGCCCUACCUGUGGGCCCUGGAGGAAUAUUUUCUGGCCUUUUGUCUCUUCCUGUUGCCUGGAAUGUUCUUGGACACUCACAGAAAUAUUCUGCGUAAAGAUGGAGCUAUAAAAAUGCCUUCGAUUUAAAACCA